CUCCCACUGAUCCACAAAGCACAGCAGAGACAGUCGCUGGUUCUUCAUAUUCAACAUGACGCCACCUCAUCUCAUCACAUCCAUCAUCACUGUGUUCUGGAUUAAGGGAGUUUACCUCAGUAAUGACAAACCAGUGUUUCAGACUCCAGCCGACCUGUUGAUGAAAACAAAUGGUGAAGUCAACCUGAACUUAACACAUCAUAUCUCGAGCUAUGACACGAUUCUCUGGUACCAGCGCUCAGCAGGAGACAGUUCCCUGAAGCUGAUCGGAUAUAUUUUUUAUAAAACACCCAAAAUUGAGUCAAAGUUUUCGAGCCACUUCAAUGUGAGUGGAAAUGGAGAGAAAACAGCUUUUCUUCAAAUCAAGAACCUGAAGCACUCUGAGGACAGCGGAGAAUAUUUUGGAGCAGCAAGUACACAGUAAUAAAGACGGAGAGAGCCGUCGUUCAAAAACCUCCAUAAACGAUGCAGCAGAUAACAGCAAGAAAAACCACAACACAGCUUCAAAGCUGAGAGAAACACAGCAAAUCAGACUCCAGAAAACACACAAUGAAUACAUGUUCUUUAUAUUUGCUUGUAUUUUUUUCAUAAUAAAGUUUACAAGUAAGCAUCCCUACAGUUUUUGCAAAA
Long non-coding RNA from Pleuronectes platessa (European plaice), 630 nucleotides. RefSeq lists it as uncharacterized. NCBI's taxonomy places the organism in Eukaryota, Metazoa, Chordata, Actinopteri, Pleuronectiformes, Pleuronectidae. The record is from RefSeq and is a predicted model, not a curated record. The transcript is spliced from 2 exons.